Molecule: non-coding RNA, 19 nt
Filed under: Arabidopsis thaliana (thale cress)
Lineage: Eukaryota; Viridiplantae; Streptophyta; Magnoliopsida; Brassicales; Brassicaceae
Source: RNAcentral
CGGGUUCGAUUCCCGGCUG